GACGAACGCUGGCGGCGUGCUUAACACAUGCAAGUCGAACGGAAAGGCCCCUUUCGGGGGGUACUCGAGUGGCGAACGGGUGAGUAACACGUGAGUAACCUGCCCCUGUGUUUGGGAUAACUUCAGGAAACUGGGGCUCAUACCGGAUAGGAGCUCCUGCUGCAUGGUGGGGGUUGGAAAGUUUCGGCGGUUGGGGUUGGACUCGCGGCUUAUCAGCUUGUUGGUGGGGUAGUGGCUUACCAAGGCUUUGACGGGUAGCCGGCCUGAGAGGGGGACCGGCCACAUUGGGACUGAGAUACGGCCCAGACUCCUACGGGAGGCAGCAGUGGGGAAUAUUGCACAAUGGGUGGAAGCCUGAUGCAGCAACGCCGUGUGCGGGAUGACGGCCUUCGGGUUGUAAACCGCUUUCGCUCAUGACGAAGCUUUGUGUGACGGUAGUGGGUAAAGAAGCACCGGCUAACUACGUG
This 467-nucleotide ribosomal RNA is filed under the name uncultured bacterium. RNAcentral describes it as "partial 16S ribosomal RNA". It matches the Rfam family "Bacterial small subunit ribosomal RNA", at positions 28 to 507 of the family's 1533-position model. The record is from RNAcentral.